Ktedonobacter racemifer DSM 44963 is the source of this 90-nucleotide non-coding RNA. Lineage: Bacteria; Bacillati; Chloroflexota; Ktedonobacteria; Ktedonobacterales; Ktedonobacteraceae. The record is from Rfam.
GAAAGCUGGAUGCCUGGGAACAGGCACGUCCGGUUUGGCGGAGGGGCCGACAGAAAAGGGCGAUUGCACCUCGCUGGCGGCCUACUCUAC